RNAcentral lists this ribosomal RNA (539 nucleotides) under uncultured bacterium. RNAcentral describes it as "bacterial SSU rRNA". It matches the Rfam family "Bacterial small subunit ribosomal RNA", at positions 777 to 1314 of the family's 1533-position model. The record is from RNAcentral.
AAUAGAUACCCGGGUAGUCCACGCCGUAAACGUUGGCGCUAGAUGUGGGGACCUUUCCACGGUUUCCGGUGUCGUAGCUAACGCAUUAAGCGCCCCGCCUGGGGAGUACGGCCGCAAGGCUAAAACUCAAAGGAAUUGACGGGGGCCCGCACAAGCGGCGGAGCAUGCGGAUUAAUUCGAUGCAACGCGAAGAACCUUACCAAGGCUUGACAUACACGAGAACGGGCCAGAAAUGGUCAACUCUUUGGACACUCGUGAACAGGUGGUGCAUGGUUGUCGUCAGCUCGUGUCGUGAGAUGUUGGGUUAAGUCCCGCAACGAGCGCAACCCUCGUCGCAUGUUGCCAGCACGUUAUGGUGGGGACUCAUGUGAGACUGCCGGGGUCAACUCGGAGGAAGGUGGGGAUGACGUCAAAUCAUCAUGCCCCUUAUGUCUUGGGCUUCACGCAUGCUACAAUGGCCGGUACAAAGGGCUGCGAUGUCGUAAGGCGGAGCGAAUCCCAAAAAGCCGGUCUCAGUUCGGAUUGAGGUCUGCAACUCG